Molecule: long non-coding RNA, 388 nt
Filed under: Prunus persica (peach)
Lineage: Eukaryota; Viridiplantae; Streptophyta; Magnoliopsida; Rosales; Rosaceae
Description: long non-coding RNA (PPER_LNC005261)
Source: RNAcentral
UGAAAUCCAAUCUCUACAACUAUGCAAUACACCAACCGCUCUAUUUUCUAACGAACUUCGUACGAACCUGAGUUGUCCAAUUUCUUGGACCAAUCUAUAUCAGAUUGAGUCCAAAACAUGGGGAACAUCAUAAUACGGUGGGAGGAGUCAUUUGGUGGGUUUUGAGUGAAAUCCAAUCUCUACAUCUAUGCAAUACCCCAACCACUCCUUUUCAUAACGAACUUCGUACGAGCCUGAAUUGUCCAAUUUCAUGGACCAAUCGAUAUCGGAUUGAGUCCAAAACUUGGGGAACAUGAUAAUAUGGUGGGAGGAGUCAUUUGGAGGGUUUUGAGUGAAAUCCAAUCUCUAUAACUAUGCAAUACACCAACGACUCCAUUUCAGAAUGAAC